AACAUAAAAAAGCCAACUGGUUCCUGAUGAUAUAAACAAACCUUUGGAGCUAAAUCAGCAGUGUGACUAAUUUAGCCAUUGCUGUUAGUCACCUCAGAAAAGU
Marmota marmota marmota (Alpine marmot) is the source of this 103-nucleotide small nucleolar RNA. Lineage: Eukaryota; Metazoa; Chordata; Mammalia; Rodentia; Sciuridae. The record is from Ensembl.